RNAcentral lists this ribosomal RNA (946 nucleotides) under uncultured ciliate. RNAcentral describes it as "SSU rRNA". It matches the Rfam family "Eukaryotic small subunit ribosomal RNA", at positions 1 to 980 of the family's 1831-position model. The record is from RNAcentral. Lineage: Eukaryota; Ciliophora.
ACCUGGUUGAUCCUGCCAGUAGUCAUAUGCUUGUCUCGAAGACUAAGCCAUGCAUGUCAAGUAUACAUGAUAUACAGUAAAACUGCGAAUGGCUCAUUAAAACAGUUAUAGUUUAUUUGAUAGAUGUCUUAUAUGGAUACCCGUAGUAAUUCUAGAGCUAAUACAUGCGUGAAGGCCUAACUGCAAGGGAGGGCUGUAUUUAUUAGAUAAAAACCAACACUACAAGGUGAAUCACAAUAACUGAUCGAAUCGCUUAGACUUUGUCUGCGAUAAAUCAUUCAAGUUUCUGCCCUAUCAGCUUUCGAUGGUAGUGUAUUGGACUACCAUGGCAAUGACGGGUAACGGAGAAUUAGGGUUCGAUUCCGGAGAGUUAGGCUGAAAAAUAGCUAACACAUCUAAGGAAGGCAGCAGGCGCGUAAAUUACCCAAUCCUGAUUCAGGGAGGUAGUGAAAAGAAAUAACAACGUAGGGCCCUUGUGGUCUUGCGAUUGCAAUGGGUACAAUUUAAAUCCCUUAACGAGUAACAAUUGGAGGGCAAGUCUGGUGCCAGCAGCCGCGGUAAUUCCAGCUCCAAUAGCGUAUAUUAAAGUUGUUGCAGUUAAAAAGCUCGUAGUUGAACUUCUGGAGGGAUGUGUUGCUCGUCCUCGCGGAUGGACAACACGUUCCCUUCAUCCUUCCGUUAACGAUUCAUGGCAUUCAUUUGUUGGUUUCGGGCUCGGAUAUUUUACUUUGAGAAAAUUAGAGUGUUUCAGGCAGGCUUGGUCAGAAUACAUUAGCAUGGAAUAAUAGAAUAGGACUUUGGCUCUAUUUGUUGGUUUAGAGUGCGAAGUAAUGAUUAAUAGGGACAGUUGGGGGCAUUCGUACUUAAUUGUCAGAGGUGAAANUCUUGGAUUUAUUAAAGACGAACUUAUGCGAAAGCAUUUGCCAAAGAUGUUUUCAUUAAUCAA